GGCUCUGUGGCGCAAGGGAUCAGCAUGUCUGUCUGUUAACUAGAAGGUUGGUGGUUCGAACCCAUCCAGGGAUA
Non-coding RNA from Podarcis lilfordi (Lilford's wall lizard), 74 nucleotides. The record is from the annotation of a GenBank genome assembly. Lineage: Eukaryota; Metazoa; Chordata; Lepidosauria; Squamata; Lacertidae.